UCCCACCUCAAAAGUCUUGGACAUCACAUCAUCUCCUAAUGUUCUCAUCUAUAUUGGCUUCAUUCUACUAGAAAUUGGCUAACAUUUUUCCAAGUUCCUUGUCCCAUUGCAGCGUAGAUGAGAUAUUUUCAAGUUGUGUUUCACUUUCUUUCCCAAUUUAUAGGUCUUUUUGACUUUUCUAUACAUAUGCUUAUGUUGAGAUAAAUAGAUUGCUAAGCUAAAUCUUCACCAUAGGUGAUACGACCACGGUAUGUACAGCAGCUGCUGUGCAUUCCUCCUUAAUCGAUGUAAUCUCUCAUUCAGUUGGGGACCUCUCCUAAGCAACACUCAUGGCGGGCAUGGUGGGUUCAGCUAUUGUGCAAGAGACCGUGAGCAGAAUCACGUCCUACUUGUUCAGCAAGUGUGACCAUGGCAGAAGGACGGCAUCCACAGGGCAUCACAUUGGGAGGCUUGAGAUGGCGCACACCGAACUAGAGCUUGCGCUUGAGAGAUCUGCAAGGAUGCCAAUCACAGACGUGUCCCUUCUACGGCGCAGGAAGCUGUUGGAGCGUGCCUUCAAAGACUGCGGAGAUCUGCUACACAGGUGCAUCAAGCAGCAAACAAUGAACGUCGACAUAGAGUUCGAACAACCAGUAAGACACUCCUUCUCUAAAUGGAUCGCACAUGUGACACAAUCAUCCGUGUCCUCCUAUUUACUGGGUUUCGCAAAGACAACCUAAGCUGCUCAGAUGUUCGAAGAAACGAGUGGUUUGCGGCGUGCGCCAACCGUUUCCUCAGAGAUGUGGAGUCAGGAUGCUCACCUCUGCGGUGCGUGUUCUCUAACCCACUUGAGUACAAGAUGGCGCAAGGAAGUAUACUCCGGUGUCUGCACAUACAGUGCAUGUGUGUGGAAGGGCGUGGUGUGGAGGCGACGACCGGAAGACACCGAUGAGAAGUUUUUCUCUCAUGCUGAUGCUACGAUUGUUAGAGAGCACGGACAUCGUCGGAACUGCUAUAAGAUGCUUGCAGUCAUUCACAUCUUCGAUGAACGAUGUGGCUGAAGCAGUAAUGAGAGAACUCAUCCAACUGCCUCAGCAAGACAUCUCCCACUCACAUGCUGCUUCAUGUUUCACCAUAAAAGAUUUGUGUUCCUAUGACACCAACUUUUGGCGCCCGGAUCCACUAUGUUGCAAGCCAGACAGGUGUGCUACUAGCUGUAUUCCAUCAGAAUUAUCAUGCAAAUUCCCGGAGCAGGUUAUUCUGAUACGCAUCGAAUGCUACGUUUCUGCCUUUGAGUGCAGCAGCCUGCAUAACACAGCUGAUGCAACUGCAAGAAACCUCGUGGCUGACCUGCCACCUCUGAAGCUUGGAGUGGGCUUUGCACCUCACUUUUUCAAUGAACGCACGCAAGGUAGAACUGCAGUUGAAAUAAUAGAAGGGAAGGAAGAGCUUAUAAAUGACAUGGGUAGCCUACAGCAAAUGGUCGAGACAGUACGAUCAAAUGCAAUUAAACAUUACAUUUGCCAACCUGAUCUGGCAUAUUAUAAAAUGGCGUGGUAUCCAGGGCACGGCGGUGCCUGCUUCAUGGUGCAAAAAUCAGGAACUGAAAUAGCAAGGGCGCACAAAGUCGAUUGUGGUUUCGAGACCUGGGGAUCUUCCGAGAGAAGGCGCUCGAAGUGAGAAGAAUGGAGCAGGAAUUCAUGCUUAGGAGGCGCCGGCAGCAGCCCCAGGUGCCACAGGGGAGUAGCCCAGUUAGUUAGAGUCUUAUUCAGAUAAGAUAGAGUUGGUUUAGGCCUUUGUUUGGCCAAAGAGUAAUCGGUUAGGAUUCUCCUUUGUAGUAUGGGUGAUAUAUAAACCCAAUUGUACUAGGGGACUAAUUAAGAAAUAAUAUCAAAAGGGAUAUUGUUGCCCA
Long non-coding RNA from Setaria italica (foxtail millet), 1891 nucleotides. RefSeq lists it as uncharacterized. The transcript has 2 exons. The record is from RefSeq and is a predicted model, not a curated record. Lineage: Eukaryota; Viridiplantae; Streptophyta; Magnoliopsida; Poales; Poaceae.